GGGGAAUUUUCCGCAAUGGGCGAAAGCCUGACGGAGCAAUACCGCGUGAGGGAGGAAGGCUCUUGGGUUGUAAACCUCUUUUCUCAAGGAAGAAAAAAAUGACGGUACUUGAGGAAUAAGCAUCGGCUAACUCCGUGCCAGCAGCCGCGGUAAUACGGAGGAUGCAAGCGUUAUCCGGAAUGAUUGGGCGUAAAGCGUCCGCAGGUGGCUAUGUAAGUCUGCUGUUAAGGAGUCUGGCUCAACCAGAUAAAGGCAGUGGAAACUACAUGGCUAGAGUGCGUUCGGGGCAGAGGGAAUUCCUGGUGUAGCGGUGAAAUGCGUAGAGAUCAGGAAGAACACCGGUGGCGAAAGCGCUCUGCUAGGCCGCAACUGACACUGAGGGACGAAAGCUAGGGGAGCGAAUGGGAUUAGAUACCCCAGUAGUCCUAGCCGUAAACGAUGAAUACUAGGCGUGGCUUGUAUCGACCCGAGCCGUGCCGUAGCUAACGCGUUAAGUAUCCCGCCUGGGGAGUACGCAGGCAACUGUGAAACUCAAAGGAAUUGACGGGGGCCCGCACAAGCGGUGGAGUAUGUGGUUUAAUUCGAUGCAACGCGAAGAACCUUACCAGGACUUGACAUGUCGCGAAUUUCUGUGAAAGCAGAAAGUGCCUUCGGGAGCGCGAACACAGGUGGUGCAUGGCUGUCGUCAGCUCGUGUCGUGAGAUGUUGGGUUAAGUCCCGCAACGAGCGCAACCCUCGUUUUUAGUUGCCAGCAUUAAGUUGGGCACUCUAGAGAGACUGCCGGUGACAAACCGGAGGAAGGUGGGGAUGACGUCAAGUCAGCAUGCCCCUUACGUUCUGGGCUACACACGUACUACAAUGCUACGGACAAAGGGCAGCAAGCAUGCGAAUGCAAGCUAAUCUCAUAAACCGUGGCUCAGUUCAGAUCGCAGGCUGCAACUCGCCUGCGUGAAGGAGGAAUCGCUAGUAAUUGCAGGUCAGCAUACUGCAGUGAAUUCGUUCCCGGGCCUUGUACACACCGCCCGUCACACCAUGGAAGCUGGUAGUGCCCGAAGUCAUUACCCCAACCGCUUGCGGAGGGGGAUGCCUAAGGCAGGACUGGUGACUGGGGUGAAGUCGUAACAAGGUAGCCGUACCGGAAGGUGUGGCUGGAUCACCUCCU
RNAcentral lists this ribosomal RNA (1162 nucleotides) under Spirirestis rafaelensis CMT-1SZIN-NPC20. RNAcentral's name for it is "bacterial SSU rRNA". It matches the Rfam family "Bacterial small subunit ribosomal RNA", at positions 356 to 1531 of the family's 1533-position model. Lineage: Bacteria; Bacillati; Cyanobacteriota; Cyanophyceae; Nostocales; Tolypothrichaceae. The record is from RNAcentral.